CUGGCCCAGAAUCAAGACCAGCAGUUUGGAGUCACUGGUUUCAAGCAGAAGCCUAAAGAAAUGUCUUCCUUUGGACUGCUGACCGUUUCAGAACUUUGGAGAUUUUAUGGUCAAUUCAUUAGAAAGAAACAUCC
This 134-nucleotide small nucleolar RNA is filed under the name Dasypus novemcinctus (nine-banded armadillo). Lineage: Eukaryota; Metazoa; Chordata; Mammalia; Cingulata; Dasypodidae. The record is from RNAcentral.